GCAGGACACAUUGAUCA
This 17-nucleotide non-coding RNA is filed under the name Mus musculus (house mouse). The record is from RNAcentral. Lineage: Eukaryota; Metazoa; Chordata; Mammalia; Rodentia; Muridae.